GGCGGUUUGGGAUCAUCUGCAUGCUUUAUGAUUGAACGCAUCGACCAGAUCUGUCUGGAAAAAGGAGAGAAAACAUCUCUCCCCCAGGACACUUGCUUCUGGAGAGGUGAGUUACCAUCUAUCUUCUGAGGCCACCAUAGUUGAAGGAAACCCAAACUACCCCAUGCAGAGUAAUACUGAGAGUAAAUGAACAGAAAUGUCUAGCCAGCCCCAGCUAUUCCAGCUCCAACCACUGUGACCGCAGCGACAUGACAGACGAGCAAGAAUCACCCAGCCAAGUCCUUCCUGGACUCCUGACCCAGAAACCACAAAAGAUAAGCCAUUAAGUUUUGGGGUGAUGUGUUAUACAGCACUAGAUAGCAGAUACCAAAUUGCUUAUCUUUUCUCUUUCUCCUUUUAAAAUAUUCUCACACAUAGUCUUUCUUAAAAUCAAGUUUUGGACUUGUUCAAAUAAUUUUUAUUACAGAUGUACUUAGAUAUGGAUUAUAGGGGUUAAGAAUGCUGACCCUGGAGUCUGUCUGCUGGAUUGGAUCCUAGCUAUCAUUUGUUAACCACAUGAUCUGAGGAAACUUAACUAAAUACGGUAACAUGUGAUUACUUCUCCUCUUAACUCCAUUUCAUCAGACAUCUGUUGUGUAGCAGCCAUAUAGUUUGUGUGGGACUAAAUCUUCAACCCCAUGGGAGGCAGUGGUCAGUUUAUGGAGCCAAUCAUGAUAAUCCCAUCCCCACUGGCACGUGAUUACCUGAAGCCUAAACCAAUCAGUUGGGACUUCUCUUGGCCACCAAGACAGGUUUGAAUCGACUCAAUCUCAGCGAAACCAGAAAGAGCUGUGGAAGGGACUCUUUCUCCCUACAUGUAAAGGAGGAAAUUGGGAUCCUGGCAGCUGAGGCUAGCCAUCUUGUGAUCCCGACAGAAGCCACCUAGAAAAUGAAGUGGACAAGUAGGAGGGGUUGAACCAAAGUAAUUACACAGCAACUGAGCCAGAACUCUAGCCAAAAUGUACCUUAAGCUCGUGUUUCCUCCGGACUUCUCAAUUCCUGUAGUCCCCAGGAAUGGACUCCAUCAAGGUGCAUCAGGAUGAUGUCUGAAUUCUCUGCCUGUUUCCUAGGUGGCAGCCAUGCCUGUUAAGAUUAUGGGUUGCCAUAAAAUAAACUACACAGGAUGUAAUGGAUUAAAACCACAGAAGGUUAAUCUUAGAGAUGCAGGAAAAGAAGUGUGUGGAGGUGAAAGCUGUCUAUGCCUGUUCGCUCAGCAAGCCAGCUGUAAGGCGAGAAUCUGAGUGAGUGCUGGGAGUGAGCACUUGGCAUUAAACCAGCUCUCCACGGGCCUCGCCCAGAAAACACAGCUGCAUGAGGGUGAUGUGCGAACGCAAGCCCUACUGGACACAUCCCUUAAGUGUUAACACAUGCGACGUGAGAUACAAAACUCGAGCUUCCAAACAAUAGACCCAAGAAUCAGGAGUUUCCCAGGGUCAUCGCUAAGAACGCAAGAGAGUGGUGUUUGCAUCUUAAGGCCCUUUUUCUUCUGGUGCGCAUUGUACUUUCUGUCAUAUCAGCCAGUAACUUAAAAAUUAAAAGACAUCCCACUGCCAGACCCUCUACUCCCAAAUAUGAAAGUACCAUUCACAGUCACCAGUUAGCGCACACACAGGUUCAAACAUUAAAGAAUGAUCUCAAGUGUGGUGCUUGUGUCUCCAGCCUCAUCUCUCCAGAUGCCCCUCGUAUUCAUCCACACACACAUCUCCCAUUCCCUCUCUCCAUCCUCCCCCUUUUCCUACCCUCCAUGGGUCAGUCAUAAUAAACAUUUUCUCAGUUAUUUAACCCCCACUUCAGCUACUCUACAUUCCCCCACCACCUUUGUCACAAGGAACCUCCCUUAAACCCCAAGUCUGAGUUAGGUACAAGCCCCAUCACAUUUAGUCUCUCUCUCUCUCUGCUUUCAUGUCUAUUUUUGUGUGUACUUUCUAGACUAUAAGUUCCAUGAAAGGAAAGAAAUUGGUCUUCCAUGCAUGUACUGAACAAAUAAAUAUUAAGUACUCUCUCUGUGAAAGGCUCAAUUCUAAGUAAGAUAUAGCCUAGCUCCCUGCCUAGAAUAAUAUAGGAAUCUUCCAAAAUUUGGCUGACUACAUGGAUGGAUAGAUGCAUAGGUACAGCAACUAGAAAUGUGUCAGUUAGGAAUGUGCUACUGCGGUGAAAAUAAAAACCUAAACAGGAGCUUCUCAUAAGAAGGCACAGGUCAGCUGUCCGAGGUAGGUAGUGGUUCCACAGAGCUAUCAGGGGCAUCCAUCUUUAUUCUUAGUGUGUUUUAUGACUAAAAUGGUAUUACCAUCCUAAUCCCUGGUACCUGUGAAUGUGAUGUCACUUGGAAAUAGUCUUUCCAGAUGUAAUCAAGUUAAGAGGCAGUCAUACUGGAAUAGGGUGGACUCUAAAUCCAACAUGACUGGUUCCCGUAUGAGAGGAGAAGAGACACAGAACCAGAGUGAAUGGCAUGUUACAGCAGGGGCAGGAGGGGAGUGAAGCUUCUCCACGCCCAGGAAGGCCAAGGAUUACCAGCAACACCAGAAGCUAGGAAAAAAGGAGUAAGGAUCCUCCCCAGGGGCCUUCAGAGGGAGGAUGCCCCUGCCCACACUUUGAUUUUGAACUUCUAGCCUCCAGCACUGUCAGAGAAUAAAUGUCUGUUGUUUAAGCCACCCAAUUUGUGGUAAUUUGUUACAGCAGCCCUAGGAAACUAACAGUGUGUGACUUUCAUCCUCAGACUUACAGGCAUCUGUGGUCUGGCCAGGAAGGAGGGAGAAGCAGCAGAUAGGUCGUUCCAGUCUAGACUGCACCGUCAAGAAGCUUCCUUGAAAGUCCAAUCAGUGAUAUCAACGAACAUCUCAUAGACCAGGUCUGGGUCAUACAGUCACCCUUCAGCGGCAAGGGAGUCUGGGAAAGUGAAUCUUUUUAGCCUUCAAAUUCUAUGGCUGAGGAAGGCAUUGUAAAUGACUCUGGGUUUGCCAGUCCAUAAAGAGAUAAUCGUAUUAAGCAUGUCAUUGCCCUAUUCAGAGCACACCCCGAUGCCAUGUUCCUCCGAUACAUCUUCAUUUAAACAAAUAAACACUGCAUUCAUAAAAGCAGCCUCUCAUAAAUCGUGUGUGUGUGAGAGAGAGAGAGACAGGUGAGAAAUACCCUAUUUUCUCUCUUAUCUCCUAGGCCAGGGAGGGGUGAGUCCAGUGCAGAAGCCCUGCCUCAUGGAGAGAGCUGCCAGCCCACCACUGCAGCUCACUGGGCCUCUGCCUUGGGACUGCUGUUCACCCUCUGACCAAACUCGAAACAAUUACCGAGCCUCAGACUAGGCUAUUUACAGACCAGAUCAGAAGUACCUGCAACCCCUUCAUGUUUGGUUCCUACAAUUUAAAAUUACACAAGUAAUAAAUAUAUCACCUUAAAAAUCAACAAUUCAAAGAUUCAUAAAGUAAAAAUGAAAAGUCUCCCUAAACCAGAACCCCCAUCACCUGCCCCCAGCCGCAUGUCCUUUAGCAGAUGUAACACUAAUAAGUUUGUUUCUUCCAGUUCGCCUUCAUCCGUGUAUUUACACGCAUACACCCCACGCACACACCCACACACACCAUAUACAUGGUUGUAUAUUUCAUAAACGGGAUCACACCACCACCCAUUUGUCUCAUUUUACAAUAUGCCUUGGUAUUCCUUGUAAGGACUUUCUAUGAUUGAUUUAACCAAUUCUAUGCCGGAUACAGGUUGUAUAGCAAGUGAUAUAGAACACAGACUCAGACCAGACCCCCUGGGCUCACAUCACAUUACAAUUCUGCCUCCUGCUAGCUAUGAGGCCUUGAAUAAACUGCAUCUUCACCACUUUGCCUCGGCUCUUUCAUCUGUAUAAUGGGGAUAAUAAAAGCACUGACAGGGUUAUCAUAGAGAUUGAGCUCAUUUACAUAAAGCAUUUAGACAAGCACUUCUCCAGAGAAGGCCUUCUCUAAGGACUAGCCAU
Manis pentadactyla (Chinese pangolin) is the source of this 3988-nucleotide long non-coding RNA. RefSeq lists it as uncharacterized. The record is from RefSeq and is a predicted model, not a curated record. The transcript is spliced from 5 exons. Lineage: Eukaryota; Metazoa; Chordata; Mammalia; Pholidota; Manidae.